CUGCAGCUCAAGUGGUGACCACUAUUAUUGGGCCUAAAACGUUCGUAGCCGGUUUGGUAAAUGCCUGGGUAAAUCGUGUAGCUUAACUAUACGAAUUCCGGGUAGACUGCCAAACUUGAGACCGGGAGAAGCUAGAGGUACUCCUGGGGUAGAGGUGAAAUCCUGUAAUCCUGGGGGGACCACCAGUGGCGAAGGCGUCUAGCUAGAACGGGUCUGACGGUGAGGAACGAAGCCCUGGGGCGCAAACCGGAUUAGAUACCCGCGUAGUCC
Molecule: ribosomal RNA, 270 nt
Filed under: uncultured archaeon
Lineage: Archaea
Description: partial 16S ribosomal RNA
Rfam family: Archaeal small subunit ribosomal RNA
Source: RNAcentral